CGCUGGCGGCAUGCCUUACACAUGCAAGUCGAACGGCAGCACGGAGCUUGCUCUGGUGGCGAGUGGCGAACGGGUGAGUAAUAUAUCGGAACGUACCCUAGAGUGGGGGAUAACGUAGCGAAAGUUACGCUAAUACCGCAUACGAUCUAAGGAUGAAAGUGGGGGAUCGCAAGACCUCAUGCUCGUGGAGCGGCCGAUAUCUGAUUAGCUAGUUGGUAGGGUAAAAGCCUACCAAGGCAUCGAUCAGUAGCUGGUCUGAGAGGACGACCAGCCACACUGGAACUGAGACACGGUCCAGACUCCUACGGGAGGCAGCAGUGGGGAAUUUUGGACAAUGGGCGAAAGCCUGAUCCAGCAAUGCCGCGUGAGUGAAGAAGGCCUUCGGGUUGUAAAGCUCUUUUGUCAGGGAAGAAACGGUGAGAGCUAAUAUCUCUUGCUAAUGACGGUACCUGAAGAAUAAGCACCGGCUAACUACGUGCCAGCAGCCGCGGUAAUACGUAGGGUGCAAGCGUUAAUCGGAAUUACUGGGCGUAAAGCGUGCGCAGGCGGUUUUGUAAGUCUGAUGUGAAAUCCCCGGGCUCAACCUGGGAAUUGCAUUGGAGACUGCAAGGCUAGAAUCUGGCAGAGGGGGGUAGAAUUCCACGUGUAGCAGUGAAAUGCGUAGAUAUGUGGAGGAACACCGAUGGCGAAGGCAGCCCCCUGGGUCAAGAUUGACGCUCAUGCACGAAAGCGUGGGGAGCAAACAGGAUUAGAUACCCUGGUAGUCCACGCCCUAAACGAUGUCUACUAGUUGUCGGGUCUUAAUUGACUUGGUAACGCAGCUAACGCGUGAAGUAGACCGCCUGGGGAGUACGGUCGCAAGAUUAAAACUCAAAGGAAUUGACGGGGACCCGCACAAGCGGUGGAUGAUGUGGAUUAAUUCGAUGCAACGCGAAAAACCUUACCUACCCUUGACAUGGCUGGAAUCCCCG
This 971-nucleotide ribosomal RNA is filed under the name Janthinobacterium sp. RNAcentral describes it as "bacterial SSU rRNA". It matches the Rfam family "Bacterial small subunit ribosomal RNA", at positions 34 to 1001 of the family's 1533-position model. Lineage: Bacteria; Pseudomonadati; Pseudomonadota; Betaproteobacteria; Burkholderiales; Oxalobacteraceae. The record is from RNAcentral.